UCUUUUACCUCCCAGAAAAACCAAAGAAAACAGUUUAAAGCUCCAGAGGAUAAUAAAUAAUAAAUAAUAUCUGCUUCCUGGAUCCCCAAGCAGCCAUGUUAGUCAUCAGGCUAAAUUUAAAGAUAAACGGUUUUACUUUACCAAAGUUUCCAACAAACAAAUCAAAUGG
This is a long non-coding RNA of Xiphophorus hellerii (green swordtail), 169 nucleotides long. RefSeq lists it as uncharacterized. NCBI's taxonomy places the organism in Eukaryota, Metazoa, Chordata, Actinopteri, Cyprinodontiformes, Poeciliidae. The transcript has 2 exons. The record is from RefSeq and is a predicted model, not a curated record.